CGGGCGAGGAAGGACGUCCAAUGAGGGGGAGGAAAUUUGGCCGAGGGGACAGACGGGAGAAGGGACAUGGAGAGGAGGGGUCAGCGGAGAUAAACCGCUGAGGAGGGUGAGAAGGAAGAGCAAAAAAACAGGGAGAAAGGAGUGAGGAUCACAGGAGAAAAAGAUAAAAUGGAAGAGAAAAAGAAGGAAGGGUCAGAGUUAAAGGACGGGGAGACGGUGGCAAAGAGAACGCGGAAAGGCUGUCACUGGGAAGAAGGGAGGUUAAGGGGGUGUCACCUACAGGGCUUUACCCCAGCGGGUGAAUGGGCUGCACGGGGAAGGGGGAACUGGAAACCGAGUAGGUGGUAACAAGGGGCUGUGGGCGAAGGCAGGAGCCUGAGGGGGAUGCCUGAGCCAGGGAGCGACAGGCCCGCCAGGGACGUGGGGGUGGCGGUGGCUGGGGUGGGUCCCGCUACCUCACUGUGGCUGAGCCGGCCUGAUCCUGGGCGCAGCCUCUGCCCCGGGUGCGGCGGUGGCCAGACCAGAGCCCACACCCAGGCUGAGCCUUGUCUGUAGGUUUCCUUCAUAGAACUGCAAAGAAAUGUCAAGCACAUGAACACAGCUAGACAACAAUCCAAGGCAAGAUGAAUGCCAGAAGAUUUUGGCAUCCUGGAAAAAACUCACCAUGGACUUUAGUUAUUCAGAAUUAGCUACUUCUUCUGUAAGGCUAUCAGUAGCUAAGAGUUGAACAUGGUCAGCAUUAAAGUAUUCUGAGGGUGAGUGUAGAGUCAGAGCCACACAGAGCCCGAACCCUUUCUCCAUCUUCUGUUCCUUCCCUUGCAGUAUUCUGGAUUAACAGAAGAAAAUAGCCACCCGACCUCCAGAUGAUUUUCCACCUGUGCCUGGCAAGACUGGG
This is a long non-coding RNA of Lemur catta (Ring-tailed lemur), 895 nucleotides long. RefSeq lists it as uncharacterized. The record is from RefSeq and is a predicted model, not a curated record. Lineage: Eukaryota; Metazoa; Chordata; Mammalia; Primates; Lemuridae. The transcript has 3 exons.